This 73-nucleotide transfer RNA is filed under the name Neurospora tetrasperma FGSC 2508. RNAcentral's name for it is "tRNA-Asn (ATT) (tRNA-Asn-ATT-1-1)". It matches the Rfam family "tRNA". Rfam says of the family: Transfer RNA (tRNA) molecules are approximately 80 nucleotides in length. Their secondary structure includes four short double-helical elements and three loops (D, anti-codon, and T loops). The record is from RNAcentral. Lineage: Eukaryota; Fungi; Ascomycota; Sordariomycetes; Sordariales; Sordariaceae. RNAcentral also lists the same sequence under 1 other name.
AGUCCUAUAACUUAGUAGUUAGAAUAUUAGGGUAUUAACUUAAAGAUCGCAGGUUCGAAUCCUGCUAGGACCA